This 461-nucleotide ribosomal RNA is filed under the name Ceracris kiangsu (yellow-spined bamboo locust). RNAcentral describes it as "small subunit ribosomal RNA". It matches the Rfam family "Microsporidia small subunit ribosomal RNA", at positions 733 to 1311 of the family's 1311-position model. Lineage: Eukaryota; Metazoa; Arthropoda; Insecta; Orthoptera; Acrididae. The record is from RNAcentral.
UAAAUUUUACUUACCUGGGUAUUAAUAGUUAGGUUCUUAAAACCCAAAGAAUUUGGCGGUACCUCAUUCCUUUCAGAGGAACCUACCCCGUGAUUGAUAGUACACGAUUAACUUUACUUGAUUUAUUUGCUUGUAUAUCUCCGUUAUCAGAGGAUCUUUUUGGGGUAAUAAUUUUCUAAAUUUAUAAUUUUAAAUUAUUUCAGGUCAAGGUGCAGCUUAUAAUUAAGUGGAGGUGGGUUACAAUAAAUUAUUUGUUUAUUAUGGAAUUAAUAAUGUAAAAUAUUAAUGAAGGUGGAUUUGAUAGUAAUUUAAUUUAUUUAAUUUAAUUGAUAUUGGCUCUGAGGUGUGUACACAUCGCCCGUCGCUCUCAUUAUAAAAUUUAUUAUAUAUUUAUGAUUUAACUUAGAUGAGAUAAGUCGUAACAUAGUAGAUGUACUGGAAAGUGUAUCUAGAAAGAUAAU